Molecule: ribosomal RNA, 508 nt
Filed under: uncultured Bacillota bacterium
Lineage: Bacteria; Bacillati; Bacillota
Description: uncultured Firmicutes bacterium partial 16S ribosomal RNA
Source: RNAcentral
CACGUAGUUAGCCGUGACUUUCUCACAGGGUACCGUCACUGUCUUCUUCCCCUGCGACAACAGUUUACAAUCCGAAGACCUUCUUCCUGCACGCGGCGUUGCUGCGUCAGGGUUCCCCCCAUUGCGCAAUAUUCCACACUGCUGCCUCCCGUAGGAGUCUGGGCCGUGUCUCAGUCCCAAUGCGGCCGAUCAACCUCUCAGUUCGGCUACAGAUCGUCGCCUUGGUGAGCCGUUACCUCACCAACCAGCUAAUCUGACGCGAGUCCAUCCAUAAGCGAUAAAUCUUUCAAAUAUCUACCAUGCGGUAAAUAUUCAAUAUGCGGUAUUAGUCCACGUUUCCAUGGAUUAUCCCCCUCUUAUGGGCAGGUUACUCACGCGUUACUCGCCCGUCCGCCACUUUCCUCUUAAAAGUUCACCCCGAAGGGAUCACACAUAAGAUUCUCGUUCGACUUGCAUGUGUUAGGCACGCCGCACGCGUUCGUCCUCGUACGCCUAGGAGUACAAACUA